This is a long non-coding RNA of Felis catus (domestic cat), 1016 nucleotides long. RefSeq lists it as uncharacterized. The transcript is spliced from 5 exons. The record is from RefSeq and is a predicted model, not a curated record. Lineage: Eukaryota; Metazoa; Chordata; Mammalia; Carnivora; Felidae.
UGCCAGGUAAGAAAUGAAGUAAAAUAACAAUGCAGCAGUGUGAUGACUGUAGUGGUCAGGGUCGGUAAGUUACAGUGCAAUUAACAGCCACACCCAAAUGGCAACAUUUAAAAUAACCAAGACUUACUUCCUUUUAUUCUCCAGGUCAACAUGAGUCCUCUGAGACUUCCACUCCAAGUCUUGAUAGCCUCUUCAGGGAGUCAGGUUGGUGGGUUACACGUCAGUUCCCACCCAGUAGAAACUCCACGGAAAUGUGACCCAUCAUCCUUCGCCAUGGGCCCAGGUGACAGCCCAAAGGAGCAGUUCUGUGUGAAUGACAAGAGAUUCCAGAGAAACCUCAGCCAAAACUUGUGGAAAACGCACAAUGUUUGAAAGAGGCAGCUGAAAACAAUAGCCUUCUGAACUUCAGGACUUUGACAUCCUCAGAAUCUUCUUAUACAGUCUACGGAUUGACUGAAUGAAAAAUACCGUGGCGAACCAUGAGAAAUAACGAAAAGCCCUACAUACCCACCACCAUUCUGCAGCAAAACGGAGGGGUUUGGAACGACUGGAAAUACUUCCACCCCAGGAAUUUCCAGGACAUCUGAUUUUCUUUUGGCUUGACAUAGCCUCUUGGCUGCCGAGCUCCAUCCAGAUCCCAGCAGCCACCUGCUCGGAUCCAUCCUAGACAUGGCCCUGCUGCUGGCCUCAGGCUACCUUCUGGAAUCCUCCAAAAGUCCUAGGGGAACAAAUUCAACUUAGAACCUCUGUUAUGAAGCUUUCAGUGAUACCUCCCUGACUAAGGUAAGGGCCCCUCUUUGUACUCAUAUAGCUCCUUAUCAUACCUUUAUCACAUCUUUUUCACUUUCUCUGUCCUCUAGAGUACAAACCCAAAUCUUAUUAUCUUUAAACAGGUCUAGUGACCAGUGUGAUGGCAGCAGAUGAAAGGUGUUCAAUAGAUGAUUAUCAGGAAAAAAAAAAGAUGAAAUAGUUCUCAAAAUCCUAGGACAAUAUCUUCUGUAGGAAUUCACACUUGG